Molecule: long non-coding RNA, 714 nt
Filed under: Equus asinus (donkey)
Lineage: Eukaryota; Metazoa; Chordata; Mammalia; Perissodactyla; Equidae
Description: lncRNA (ENSEASG00005024982.1)
Source: RNAcentral
GCCGUAGCCUCCUCGUUCGUCUUCUCAGGACUCCAGAGAACCGUUGGGGAACUUUGGGGUGUGCUCGGAAAAGGCAGCGUGCGCACCUAGGGCGAGGGACUAGCUGGGAAGGGUGUGCCUGUGCUUGGGGAUGGGAGCAGGAAGUGUCUGGGACCUCGUCGCCCCCGCGGCGGUGUAUAAAGCCGGGCGGGCCGUCAGAGCGGAUGCGCUGCUGUCACACAUGUCCACCACCACAUGUGACAUUAGUGACGUUAUCCUGACGUCACAGGAUCCAAGAAUGAUGAUCUGUGAAGAGUUUUCCAAGGUCACCUACUUCUAACUCUUUUGAAAGAUUUAAAGACAUUGGGCCUGAAAACUUCAGUGACUUGUCCGGGGAAACGCAGUUUGUGACAGUUCACUCUCUCACAGCUGAAGCACAGUCCUCUGUACUCGCCCAGGAGCCACAGAGAGUGAACAUCCCUCAGACUCUCUCCUGGCUUUGAUGAAGCAAGCUGCCAUGUUGGAGAGGCCUACAUGACAAGGAACUGAAGGUUGCCUCCAGCCAGCUCCAGCCAACAGCCAUCCAGGAAUUGAGGCUCUCAGUCCAACAGGCCUUGAGGAACUGCAUCCAGCCAGCAACUAUAGAAGUGAGCAAAGAAGGGUGUAUUUCCCCAGUCAAGCCUUCAGAUGAGACCCCAGCCCCAGCUGACACCUUAAUUGCAGCCUUGUGAGAGA